UACAAAAUGACUCUCGGCAACGGAUAUCUCGGCUCUUGCAUCGAUGAAGAACGCAGCGAAAUGCGAUACUUGGUGUGAAUUGCAGAAUCCCGUGAACCAUCGAGUCUUUGAACGCAAGUUGCGCCCGAAGCCAUUAGGCCGAGGGCACGCCUGCCUGGGUGUCACA
This 166-nucleotide ribosomal RNA is filed under the name Aganope leucobotrya. RNAcentral's name for it is "5.8S ribosomal RNA". It matches the Rfam family "5.8S ribosomal RNA". Rfam says of the family: 5.8S ribosomal RNA (5.8S rRNA) is a component of the large subunit of the eukaryotic ribosome. The record is from RNAcentral. Lineage: Eukaryota; Viridiplantae; Streptophyta; Magnoliopsida; Fabales; Fabaceae.